UGGAUACUAAAGCAACUCAAAAUAUACACAAUUAGCAACAUGAUCAUAUAUAUAGGACCUCAAACUACUACGUACUUCUCAACCUCUUGCAUUCAUUAUAAGUAGCAACAUGAUCAUAAAGCAAAAGUUCCCGUUCUGUUUCGUGAUAUAGAGGAGCUUCAAAUUGAAACUUAGCUGCAGGAAAGCGCUCUCCGCAUCUUCGUCUUCGCGGGGAUGUCGUAGCCGUGGAGGACGCACGGCUCGACGGACUCGCGGGGGAGGAGGAGGGUGCAGCCGGAAGGCCUCCUUUAUCGCAGCGCGAAUGUAGUGCAGCUGCCAGAUGUCGCUCUCCUCCACCUCGCCUUUGUCGCCGGCAAUUCUUGUAACCUCUUCUUGAGCUUUCCUCAUAAUGUGGGGGUGCCGAUUGAGCAAGCUCAGUCAUGACCCACUCCAGAGUUGUAGAGGUGGAAUCAAUGCCCGCAACAAGCAUGUCCUAUUCGUCCAAUGCAGUUAUAGUUUUCAAAUGAUAUUGUUAAUUUGAACGCGGAGGUAAUAUAUUUUUAAAAUGGAAAAAUUUUAAAUACCACUUUUAUAAUUUCACACUUUCUCACUUUAUUAUCCUGUAGUUUAAAAUGUAUCAAUUUAGUAUUUUGUAGUUUCAUUUUUAUCUUUUUAUUAUCAAUUUUACUAAUUUUUUUCGUUAAAUCAGUGACAAAGUUAAAACUAAAAGAUACUAAAGUGAAUAUUCAAUAAAUAUAGAUAGAAUAUCUGAAGUUUUUUAUAUAUAUAAUUUAAUAAAAUAUUAAUGGAGGAACUGACGAAAAGAUAAAAAUAAAAUCACAUGACACUAAUUUAAUACACUUUAAAUCAUAAAAUACUAAAAUAAAAAAAUAUAAAACUAAAUGGGUGGUAUCUAAUUAAAGCUUAUCCUUUUAAAAUAAGUUACUUCUUUAUACAUAGUAAUUUUAGAUGAUAAAGUAUUCUAAUGCAUCAUAUUUGAUCUUAAUUUUCAAGCUGUUUGAUUUACAGUAUGCUUUUUAAGAUGUCAGAAAAUGAGACGCCGGAUUAGCUAUGAAAUCCCACGCUGUGCUGUCACACGAAUCUGACGCGACGUCGACCAAAGUUAAAAAUUUUAGUAAAAUCUUAUAAUCUCUUCAAAUGUUUGAAUUCAAAAAUCCACCUCCUCUCUUGGUAUUUUUGUGGUCGUAGUUAGUAGCCUACCCUAGCUUGUCUUGUGAUAGAUAACAAAUUAUUUUAAAAAAAAUUAAAAAGAUAAAAUGUAUUUUCAAAUUUUUAUUUUUUAUCAUCGAGCAGGUGGAGGUGGCCGAUGACGGCCGGGAGGGACGGCGGAGACCGAGG
Molecule: long non-coding RNA, 1338 nt
Filed under: Ananas comosus (pineapple)
Lineage: Eukaryota; Viridiplantae; Streptophyta; Magnoliopsida; Poales; Bromeliaceae
Description: long non-coding RNA (ACOM_LNC025342)
Source: RNAcentral